RNAcentral lists this ribosomal RNA (432 nucleotides) under Shigella flexneri. Its description in RNAcentral is "bacterial SSU rRNA". It matches the Rfam family "Bacterial small subunit ribosomal RNA", at positions 97 to 525 of the family's 1533-position model. Lineage: Bacteria; Pseudomonadati; Pseudomonadota; Gammaproteobacteria; Enterobacterales; Enterobacteriaceae. The record is from RNAcentral.
GGCGGACGGGUGAGUAAUGUCUGGGAAACUGCCUGAUGGAGGGGGAUAACUACUGGAAACGGUAGCUAAUACCGCAUAACGUCGCAAGACCAAAGAGGGGGACCUUCGGGCCUCUUGCCAUCGGAUGUGCCCAGAUGGGAUUAGCUAGUAGGUGGGGUAACGGCUCACCUAGGCGACGAUCCCUAGCUGGUCUGAGAGGAUGACCAGCCACACUGGAACUGAGACACGGUCCAGACUCCUACGGGAGGCAGCAGUGGGGAAUAUUGCACAAUGGGCGCAAGCCUGAUGCAGCCAUGCCGCGUGUAUGAAGAAGGCCUUCGGGUUGUAAAGUACUUUCAGCGGGGAGGAAGGGAGUAAAGUUAAUACCUUUGCUCAUUGACGUUACCCGCAGAAGAAGCACCGGCUAACUCCGUGCCAGCAGCCGCGGUAAUA